GUUAUAUGGUCAAGUGAAGAAGCGCAUACGGUGGAUGCCUUGGCAGUCAGAGGCGAUGAAAGACGUGGUAGCCUGCGAAAAGCUUCGGGGAGUCGGCAAACAGACUUUGAUCCGGAGAUCUCUGAAUGGGGGAACCCACCUAGGAUAACCUAGGUAUCUUGUACUGAAUCCAUAGGUGCAAGAGGCGAACCAGGGGAACUGAAACAUCUAAGUACCCUGAGGAAAAGAAAUCAACCGAGAUUCCCUUAGUAGUGGCGAGCGAACGGGGAUUAGCCCUUAAGCUUCAUUGAUUUUAGCGGAACGCUCUGGAAAGUGCGGCCAUAGUGGGUGAUAGCCCCGUACGCGAAAGGAUCUUUGAAGUGAAAUCGAGUAGGACGGAGCACGAGAAACUUUGUCUGAACAUGGGGGGACCAUCCUCCAAGGCUAAAUACUACUGACUGACCGAUAGUGAACCAGUACCGUGAGGGAAAGGCGAAAAGAACCCCGGAGAGGGGAGUGAAAUAGAACCUGAAACCGUAUGCGUACAAGCAGUGGGAGCCUACUUGUUAGGUGACUGCGUACCUUUUGUAUAAUGGGUCAGCGACUUAUAUUCAGUGGCAAGCUUAACCGUAUAGGGUAGGCGUAGCGAAAGCGAGUCUUAAUAGGGCGUUUAGUCGCUGGGUAUAGACCCGAAACCGGGCGAUCUAUCCAUGAGCAGGUUGAAGGUUAGGUAACACUGACUGGAGGACCGAACCCACUCCCGUUGAAAAGGUAGGGGAUGACUUGUGGAUCGGAGUGAAAGGCUAAUCAAGCUCGGAGAUAGCUGGUUCUCCUCGAAAGCUAUUUAGGUAGCGCCUCAUGUAUCACUCUGGGGGGUAGAGCACUGUUUCGGCUAGGGGGUCAUCCCGACUUACCAAACCGAUGCAAACUCCGAAUACCCAGAAGUGCCGAGCAUGGGAGACACACGGCGGGUGCUAACGUCCGUCGUGAAAAGGGAAACAACCCAGACCGCCAGCUAAGGUCCCAAAGUUGUGGUUAAGUGGUAAACGAUGUGGGAAGGCUUAGACAGCUAGGAGGUUGGCUUAGAAGCAGCCAUCCUUUAAAGAAAGCGUAAUAGCUCACUAGUCGAGUCGGCCUGCGCGGAAGAUGUAACGGGGCUCAAACCACACACCGAAGCUGCGGGUGUCACGUAAGUGACGCGGUAGAGGAGCGUUCUGUAAGCCUGUGAAGGUGAGUUGAGAAGCUUGCUGGAGGUAUCAGAAGUGCGAAUGCUGACAUGAGUAACGACAAUGGGUGUGAAAAACACCCACGCCGAAAGACCAAGGGUUCCUGCGCAACGUUAAUCGACGCAGGGUUAGUCGGUUCCUAAGGCGAGGCUGAAAAGCGUAGUCGAUGGGAAACAGGUUAAUAUUCCUGUACUUCUGGUUACUGCGAUGGAGGGACGGAGAAGGCUAGGCCAGCUUGGCGUUGGUUGUCCAAGUUUAAGGUGGUAGGCUGAAAUCUUAGGUAAAUCCGGGGUUUCAAGGCCGAGAGCUGAUGACGAGUCGUCUUUUAGAUGACGAAGUGGUUGAUGCCAUGCUUCCAAGAAAAGCUUCUAAGCUUCAGGUAACCAGGAACCGUACCCCAAACCGACACAGGUGGUCGGGUAGAGAAUACCAAGGCGCUUGAGAGAACUCGGGUGAAGGAACUAGGCAAAAUGGCACCGUAACUUCGGGAGAAGGUGCGCCGGCUAGGGUGAAGGAUUUACUCCGUAAGCUCUGGCUGGUCGAAGAUACCAGGCCGCUGCGACUGUUUAUUAAAAACACAGCACUCUGCAAACACGAAAGUGGACGUAUAGGGUGUGACGCCUGCCCGGUGCCGGAAGGUUAAUUGAUGGGGUUAGCGCAAGCGAAGCUCUUGAUCGAAGCCCCGGUAAACGGCGGCCGUAACUAUAACGGUCCUAAGGUAGCGAAAUUCCUUGUCGGGUAAGUUCCGACCUGCACGAAUGGCGUAACGAUGGCGGCGCUGUCUCCACCCGAGACUCAGUGAAAUUGAAAUCGCUGUGAAGAUGCAGUGUAUCCGCGGCUAGACGGAAAGACCCCGUGAACCUUUACUGUAGCUUUGCACUGGACUUUGAGCCUGCUUGUGUAGGAUAGGUGGGAGGCUUUGAAGCGUGGACGCCAGUUCGCGUGGAGCCAUCCUUGAAAUACCACCCUGGCAUGCUUGAGGUUCUAACUCUGGUCCGUGAUCCGGAUCGAGGACAGUGUAUGGUGGGCAGUUUGACUGGGGCGGUCUCCUCCUAAAGAGUAACGGAGGAGUACGAAGGUGCGCUCAGACCGGUCGGAAAUCGGUCGUAGAGUAUAAAGGCAAAAGCGCGCUUGACUGCGAGACAGACACGUCGAGCAGGUACGAAAGUAGGUCUUAGUGAUCCGGUGGUUCUGUAUGGAAGGGCCAUCGCUCAACGGAUAAAAGGUACUCCGGGGAUAACAGGCUGAUACCGCCCAAGAGUUCAUAUCGACGGCGGUGUUUGGCACCUCGAUGUCGGCUCAUCACAUCCUGGGGCUGAAGCCGGUCCCAAGGGUAUGGCUGUUCGCCAUUUAAAGUGGUACGCGAGCUGGGUUUAGAACGUCGUGAGACAGUUCGGUCCCUAUCUGCCGUGGACGUUUGAGAUUUGAGAGGGGCUGCUCCUAGUACGAGAGGACCGGAGUGGACGAACCUCUGGUGUUCCGGUUGUCACGCCAGUGGCAUUGCCGGGUAGCUAUGUUCGGAAAAGAUAAU
This 2736-nucleotide ribosomal RNA is filed under the name Pseudomonas aeruginosa. Its description in RNAcentral is "23S ribosomal RNA". It matches the Rfam family "Bacterial large subunit ribosomal RNA". Lineage: Bacteria; Pseudomonadati; Pseudomonadota; Gammaproteobacteria; Pseudomonadales; Pseudomonadaceae. The record is from RNAcentral.